Long non-coding RNA from Vidua chalybeata, 297 nucleotides. RefSeq lists it as uncharacterized. The transcript has 3 exons. NCBI's taxonomy places the organism in Eukaryota, Metazoa, Chordata, Aves, Passeriformes, Viduidae. The record is from RefSeq and is a predicted model, not a curated record.
CCUGCCGAGCUUCGCCUGAGCUCCCGCCGAACUCUCCCCGGAUCUGCUGCCGACCGGAUCUCCUGCCGAACUCCUCCCCAGCUCCAUAGCAAGAAUCAAAAGAUAGUCAACUCUGCAACUGUGUACUUUGAAGAAGAGAAAGGAGUGCUCAGUGAAUGAGAGAUAGAAGAAGAUAAAAUAUUGGUUUUGUUUUAAAGCAAGAAGACAAGGCCGUAAACUUAAUUACAACUUUUUAAAGAAGAUUGAGAAGACAGGCAAGCUAAAUUUGUGCCAUACCUGGGUCUGCUGCAGUGAAAG